AACGAACGCUGGCGGCAUGCCUAACACAUGCAAGUCGAACGAGACCUUCGGGUCUAGUGGCGCACGGGUGCGUAACGCGUGGGAACCUGCCCUUAGGGUCGGAAUAACUCCCCGAAAGGGGUGCUAAUACCGGAUAAUGUCUUCGGACCAAAGAUUUAUCGCAUUUGGAUGGGCCCGCGUUGGAUUAGCUAGUUGGUAGGGUAAAAGCUUACCAAGGCGACGAUCCAUAGCUGGUCUGAGAGGAUGAUCAGCCACUCUGGGACUGAGACACGGCCCGGACUCCUACGGGAGGCAGCAGUGGGGAAUAUUGCACAGUGGGCGAAGGCCUGAUCCAGCAAUGACGCGUGAGUGAUGAAAGCCUUAGGGUUGUAAAGCUCUUUUACCCGGGAUGAUAAUGACGGUACCGGGAGAAUAAGCUCCGGCUAACUCCGUG
Molecule: ribosomal RNA, 433 nt
Filed under: uncultured bacterium
Lineage: Bacteria
Description: partial 16S ribosomal RNA
Rfam family: Bacterial small subunit ribosomal RNA
Source: RNAcentral